AGAGUUUGAUCAUGGCUCAGAGCGAACGCUGGCGGCAGGCCUAACACAUGCAAGUCGAACGGACCCUUCGGGGUUAGUGGCGGACGGGUGAGUAACACGUGGGAACGUGCCUUUAGGUUCGGAAUAGCUCCUGGAAACGGGUGGUAAUGCCGAAUGUGCCCUUCGGGGGAAAGAUUUAUCGCCUUUAGAGCGGCCCGCGUCUGAUUAGCUAGUUGGUGAGGUAACGGCUCACCAAGGCGACGAUCAGUAGCUGGUCUGAGAGGAUGACCAGCCACACUGGGACUGAGACACGGCCCAGACUCCUACGGGAGGCAGCAGUGGGGAAUCUUGCGCAAUGGGCGAAAGCCUGACGCAGCCAUGCCGCGUGAAUGAUGAAGGUCUUAGGAUUGUAACAUUCUUUCACCGGGGACGAUAAUGACGGUACCCGGAGAAGAAGCCCCGGCUAACUUCGUGCCAGCAGCCGCGGUAAUACGAAGGGGGCUAGCGUUGCUCGGAAUUACUGGGCGUAAAGGGCGCGUAGGCGGAUCGUUAAGUCAGAGGUGAAAUCCCAGGGCUCAACCCUGGAACUGCCUUUGAUACUGGCGAUCUUGAGUAUGAGAGAGGUAUGUGGAACUCCGAGUGUAGAGGUGAAAUUCGUAGAUAUUCGGAAGAACACCAGUGGCGA
Molecule: ribosomal RNA, 664 nt
Filed under: uncultured bacterium
Lineage: Bacteria
Description: bacterial SSU rRNA
Rfam family: Bacterial small subunit ribosomal RNA
Source: RNAcentral